CUAGUAACGGCGAGUGAAGCGGCAACAGCUCAAAUUUGAAAUCUGGCUCUUUCAGGGUCCGAGUUGUAAUUUGUAGAGGGUGCUUUGGAGUUGACUGUGGUCUAAGUUCCUUGGAACAGGACGUCGCAGAGGGUGAGAAUCCCGUAUGUGGCCGCCAGUCUUCGCCGUGUAAAGCCCCUUCGACGAGUCGAGUUGUUUGGGAAUGCAGCUCUAAAUGGGAGGUAAAUUUCUUCUAAAGCUAAAUAUUGGCCAGAGACCGAUAGCGCACAAGUAGAGUGAUCGAAAGAUGAAAAGCACUUUGGAAAGAGAGUCAAAAAGCACGUGAAAUUGUUGAAAGGGAAGCGCUUGCAGCCAGACUUGCCUGUAGUUGCUCAUCCGGGCUUUUGCCCGGUGCACUCUUCUAUAGGCAGGCCAGCAUCAGUCCUGGCGGUCGGAUAAAUGCCUGCUGAAUGUACCUCUCCUCGGGGAGGACUUAUAGCGGUGGGCGGCAUACGACCAGCCGGGAUUGAGGUCCGCGCAUCUGCUAGGAUGCUGGCGUAAUGGCUGUAAGCGGCCCGUCUUGAAACACGGACCAAGGAGUCUAACAUCUAUGCGAGUGUUUGGGUGUCAAGCCCGAGCGCGUAAUGAAAGUGAACGGAGGUGGGAACCCCUCGGGGCGCACCAUCGACCGAUCCUGAUGUCUUCGGAUGGAUU
This 693-nucleotide ribosomal RNA is filed under the name Preussia sp. NVM2.6. Its description in RNAcentral is "eukaryotic LSU rRNA". It matches the Rfam family "Eukaryotic large subunit ribosomal RNA", at positions 80 to 790 of the family's 3401-position model. Lineage: Eukaryota; Fungi; Ascomycota; Dothideomycetes; Pleosporales; Sporormiaceae. The record is from RNAcentral.